AUUGAACGCUAGCGGGAUGCCUUACACAUGCAAGUCGAACGGCAGCACGAACUUCGGUCUGGUGGCGAGUGGCGAACGGGUGAGUAAUGUAUCGGAACGUGCCCAGUAGCGGGGGAUAACUACUCGAAAGAGUAGCUAAUACCGCAUACGCCCUACGGGGGAAAGGGGGGGAUCGCAAGACCUCUCACUAUUGGAGCGGCCGAUAUCGGAUUAGCUAGUUGGUGGGGUAAAGGCCCACCAAGGCGACGAUCCGUAGCUGGUUUGAGAGGACGACCAGCCACACUGGGACUGAGACACGGCCCAGACUCCUACGGGAGGCAGCGGUGGGGAAUUUUGGACAAUGGGGGCAACCCUGAUCCAGCCAUCCCGCGUGUGCGAUGAAGGCCUUCGGGUUGUAAAGCACUUUUGGCAGGAAAGAAAUCGCAUGGGUUAAUACCCUGCGUGGAUGACGGUACCUGCAGAAUAAGCACCGGCUAACUACGUGCCAGCAGCCGCCGUAA
Molecule: ribosomal RNA, 500 nt
Filed under: uncultured bacterium
Lineage: Bacteria
Description: partial 16S ribosomal RNA
Rfam family: Bacterial small subunit ribosomal RNA
Source: RNAcentral